GAUGAACGCUGGCGGCGUGCCUAAUACAUGCAAGUCGAGCGAACAGACGAGGAGCUUGCUCCUCUGACGUUAGCGGCGGACGGGUGAGUAACACGUGGAUAACCUACCUAUAAGACUGGGAUAACUUCGGGAAACCGGAGCUAAUACCGGAUAAUAUAUUGAACCGCAUGGUUCAAUAGUGAAAGACGGUUUUGCUGUCACUUAUAGAUGGAUCCGCGCCGCAUUAGCUAGUUGGUAAGGUAACGGCUUACCAAGGCAACGAUGCGUAGCCGACCUGAGAGGGUGAUCGGCCACACUGGAACUGAGACACGGUCCAGGCUCCUACGGGAGGCAGCAGUAGGGAAUCUUCCGCAAUGGGCGAAAGCCUUGCGGAGCAACGCCGCGUGAGUGGUGAAGGUCUUCGGAUCGUAAAACUCUGUUAUUAGGGAAGAACAAAUGUGUAAGUAACUAUGCACGUCUUGACGGUACCUAAUCAGAAAGCCACGGCUAACUACGUG
This 497-nucleotide ribosomal RNA is filed under the name uncultured bacterium. RNAcentral's name for it is "partial 16S ribosomal RNA". It matches the Rfam family "Bacterial small subunit ribosomal RNA", at positions 28 to 507 of the family's 1533-position model. The record is from RNAcentral.